This 497-nucleotide ribosomal RNA is filed under the name uncultured bacterium. RNAcentral's name for it is "partial 16S ribosomal RNA". It matches the Rfam family "Bacterial small subunit ribosomal RNA", at positions 28 to 507 of the family's 1533-position model. The record is from RNAcentral.
GAUGAACGCUGGCGGCGUGCCUAAUACAUGCAAGUCGAGCGAACGGACGAGAAGCUUGCUUCUCUGAUGUUAGCGGCGGACGGGUGAGUAACUCGUGGAUAACCUACCUAUAAGACUGGGAUAACUUCGGGAAACCGGAGCUAAUACCGGAUAAUAUUUUGAACCGCAUGGUUCAAAAGUGAAAGACGGUCUUGCUGUCACUUAUAGAUGGAUCCGCGCUGCAUUAGCUAGUUGGUAAGGUAACGGCUUACCAAGGCAACGAUGCAUAGCCGACCUGAGAGGGUGAUCGGCCACACGGGAAGUGAGACACGGUACAGACUCCUACGGGAGGCAGCAGUAGGGAAUCUUCCGCAAUGGGCGAAAGCCUGACGGAGCAACGCCGCGUGAGUGAUGAAGGUCUUCGGAUCGUAAAACUCUGUUAUUAGGGAAGAACAUAUGUGUAAGUAACUGUGCACAUCUUGACGGUACCUAAUCAGAAAGCCACGGCUAACUACGUG